CUAUGAAUUAAAGGGGACAAAAUGAGCGGUCGUGGUUCGCUACAGUGAUUGAGAAGAGGAAAGAGACUGAGAGGCAGAGGGAGAAGUCGCACCUUGGAGCAAGGCUGUGUUGUUGCAUCCUGCUGCUGCCCUUUCUAGGUUGCUGUUCCUGCAGCUGCGUUUGCUCUCACCCAUCAGCUCAAUUGCCUGACUGGUCCAUUGUACUGAGGAUUGUAAUGAAUUCAGACCACUAUAGAAGUCUGGAGUUUUGAGAGAAUGGUAGCAUUUGUAAAGAUAAGAUGCUUUGCCAUACCACAAUAAAAGAAAGCUUAGAACACAGGAUUUUUGGAAACUGACAGUACCGCCGCACGCUCACUACAGGUUGAAGGUCAUGCUGCAUGGCUGGUUUCAUGGUGCUCACUUUCAUUACAACUGUCUUCUUCUGUUUCUGGGGCAAAUCUGCUGCACCUGGACUAUUUUCCCAGAAUUCAUCUCUCUAUAUCAUAUGCCUCACCUUUUAAUCCUGACUCAGCUUACUGGCCAAUUAGCCAUUAAUUGACAUGAUUUAAAAUUCAUUUUUGUUUAUUUUCUUGAUGUUCAGUACUUUUGAUUCUUUGUAUAUUCUAGAUAUUAACCAUCUGUCAGACUUACAGUUGAUAAAGAAUUUUUUUACUCAGUUGACUGUUGCAUCCCUGGAAUAAUAGCAACCUUUGCUUUACAGACUCUUGUAGUUUCAUGAGGUUCUAUUAGUUAAAACUCUUCAAGCAGGUACUAUAGCUCAGAAGGACCUUUCCUGUGCCAAAAUAGUCUGGGGUAUCUACAGCACUAUUUUUUAGAAAUUUUGUCAAAAUGAGAUAGCUGUAGGAGUAUGGACUUACAUGCGGGAUCUAUUUUAUUGAUUAAUCUGCCUGUUUUUCUGCCUCUGCCAUGCUGUUUUUUAUUGUUGUUGCUGGCUGCAACACUUGGGAAAGCAGCCCCAGUAUCUUGCCCAAGAAGAUCAGCCAAGCUGGCCCUGGUUGUAGUGGUCAGAUGAGCAGGGCCGGAGACUGCGAGUGGAGGAGAAAUAAUUCAGCUUCUUGUUGGCCUUAGAGUGGUGUGUAUAUGUGAGUGAUGCCCCCAAGCCUUUGAGGCAUAUGGGAUAUUUGAAGAGCUAGCUUUAGACUGUCCCUGGACUGGACAGUCUGGGAGAGGUAGCCUAGAGGGUAUGAAAGCAGGGGAACUGGCUCACCCCGACACCUGAUGCAGAAUUAGGAAGAAUGAACCCAGCAUUUGACCUGGACCUGGUUGUGGACGCAUGGGAGAACUCCCCCAAGGGAAUGAGAACAGGUGGGAAGGCCCCAUCCCUUGCCAGCUGCAGCACUUGAGGGAACAGGCCCUGCUGUACCUCCCCUAGACAGCACAGUAGAGCUGGUCCUUGGUGGCUGCAGCACUGGGGUGAGCUGUCCCUGCUCCUCUCCAGGGCACUGGUGGAGGUUUGUCCCCAAUGUCAUGAGUCUGGGAGGGCAGUUAGGCUCACCAAUUCAUCUACCACUCAGAUGCAGAUCCAGAGUUUUGAGUUAGCCCACCCCAGCAUCUACCCCAUGCAUAAACUGCUGGAACUCCUGGAGGGGCUGGUUCUCCAGGAUCAAAUCUACACGAUCUCUAUGACAAGAGGGUAUCUGGGAGGAUUCUCAGUGAGGAUCCAGUGUUGAUAAUAUAGCCUCAGACCAUACCAAUGACUCAGUGCAAUGUAUAGCUUCAAGAAAAAGCUGUUUGGGUAUAGCUUGUGAGGUACAUCAACGUGCUGCAGCUUCUAAGGGGAAACAUUUGAUUGUUUGCUGUUGUUCUGGUUGUUUUCUUUUGAAUGGCAGUUGCAAGGGUAGAGGGUAAAUAUGAAGGUAUGGGAAGAUGAGUGUGAUGGGGAGCAUGAUGUGAAUUCACAAAGAAUCAAUAAAAUGUUAAAAAAAAACG
This 1929-nucleotide long non-coding RNA is filed under the name Mus musculus (house mouse). RNAcentral describes it as "predicted gene, 49685". The record is from RNAcentral. Lineage: Eukaryota; Metazoa; Chordata; Mammalia; Rodentia; Muridae.